GACGAACGCUGGCGGCGUGCUUAACACAUGCCAGUCGAACGGAAAGGCCCUGCUUUUGUGGGGUGCUCGAGUGGCGAACGGGUGAGUAACACGUGAGUAACCUGCCCUUGACUUUGGGAUAACUUCAGGAAACUGGGGCUAAUACCGGAUAGGAGCUCCUGCUGCCUGGUGGGGGUUGGAAAGUUUCGGCGGUUGGGGAUGGACUCGCGGCUUAUCAGCUUGUUGGUGGGGUAGUGGCUUACCAAGGCUUUGACGGGUAGCCGGCCUGAGAGGGUGACCGGCCACAUUGGGACUGAGAUACGGCCCAGACUCCUACGGGAGGCAGCAGUGGGGAAUAUUGCACAAUGGGCGGAAGCCUGAUGCAGCAACGCCGCGUGCGGGAUGACGGCCUUCGGGUUGUAAACCGCUUUCGCCUGUGACGAAGCGUGAGUGACGGUAAUGGGUAAAGAAGCACCGGCUAACUACGUG
This 468-nucleotide ribosomal RNA is filed under the name uncultured bacterium. Its description in RNAcentral is "partial 16S ribosomal RNA". It matches the Rfam family "Bacterial small subunit ribosomal RNA", at positions 28 to 507 of the family's 1533-position model. The record is from RNAcentral.